Molecule: small RNA, 84 nt
Filed under: Arabidopsis thaliana (thale cress)
Lineage: Eukaryota; Viridiplantae; Streptophyta; Magnoliopsida; Brassicales; Brassicaceae
Description: ATSL303480
Source: RNAcentral
UUGUAAGAUAUGUACCGCCUGGUACUCCUAUAUAUGUUAACUAGAUUUUAACCCGCGGUAUACCGCGGUAUGAUUUAUUUUUUU